This is a non-coding RNA of Meleagris gallopavo (turkey), 594 nucleotides long. The record is from RefSeq and is a predicted model, not a curated record. Lineage: Eukaryota; Metazoa; Chordata; Aves; Galliformes; Phasianidae.
UCAGUAGGGUAGUAAGAACGAUUCUCCAUAGGUGACAGCAGGUCAGACUGAGAACAUCUAGGAAGGACACUGUGUGUGAAAUAGCACCUGUAGUAUCACUGCAGAACAGGGCAAUGGUGUAGCAGAAAUGCCAAGUCACGGCUUGAAGCAGUGAUGGAGCACCUGGUGGAAAGCAGGGCCAGCCUAAGGGAGCUCAGGUGCAUGCAAGGGGUACAGCCAGGAUCCACCCCUUCCUAGCCCUCAUUUAAGGUUUGGUAAGGAGGUGAGAGCAUCUUGCUAGACAUCCCUGCCUAUCUGAGGCUUUCUGAAGGUAUGUGGCUGCUUGCAGAAACAGACCUAUCAUGCUGCUCUAAGUUGCUUAGAGGAUUUCUGGCCAGAUUGAUUCUGCUAAACCUGUGAUGGGUGAGCUACCUGAUGGUGCUGCUUACUGAAGAGGGACCAUUCAGACCUCCUGCUUGAAGACUCCAUGUGUGAUUGUUUCAUUUUCAUUUUAUUUUGAAAGCUUAUAGAUUGCUUUUGUUGGUGGCUAUGCUACUAUGAUAGUAUCAACAUGUGUGAUAUUAGCCUCAGGGGUUUAAAAUAGGAUUUUACUCC